RNAcentral lists this ribosomal RNA (815 nucleotides) under uncultured bacterium. RNAcentral's name for it is "bacterial SSU rRNA". It matches the Rfam family "Bacterial small subunit ribosomal RNA", at positions 8 to 794 of the family's 1533-position model. The record is from RNAcentral.
AGAGUUUGAUCAUGGCUCAGGACGAACGCUGGCGGCGUGCCUAAUACAUGCAAGUCGAACGCUUCUGCUUUAACUGAUGCUUGCAUCGACCUAAGUUAGAAGAGUGGCGAACGGGUGAGUAACACGUGGGUAACCUGCCCAUCAGAGGGGGAUAACACUUGGAAACAGGUGCUAAUACCGCAUAACACUAAAAACCGCAUGGUUUUUGGUUGAAAGGCGCUUCUGGUGUCGCUGAUGGAUGGACCCGCGGUGCAUUAGCUAGUCGGUGGGGUAACGGCCUACCGAGGCAAUGAUGCAUAGCCGACCUGAGAGGGUGAUCGGCCACAUUGGGACUGAGACACGGCCCAAACUCCUACGGGAGGCAGCAGUAGGGAAUCUUCGGCAAUGGACGCAAGUCUGACCGAGCAACGCCGCGUGAGUGAUGAAGGUUUUCGGAUCGUAAAACUCUGUUGUUAGAGAAGAACAAGAGAAGUAGUAACUGGCUUCUCCUUGACGGUAUCUAACCAGAAAGCCACGGCUAACUACGUGCCAGCAGCCGCGGUAAUACGUAGGUGGCAAGCGUUGUCCGGAUUUAUUGGGCGUAAAGCGAGCGCAGGCGGUCUUUUAAGUCUGAUGUGAAAGCCCACGGCUUAACCGUGGAGGGUCAUUGGAAACUGGGAGACUUGAGUGCAGAAGAGGAAAGUGGAACUCCAUGUGUAGCGGUGGAAUGCGUAGAUAUAUGGAAGAACACCAGUGGCGAAGGCGGCUUUCUGGUCUGUAACUGACGCUGAGGCUCGAAAGCGUGGGGAGCAAACAGGAUUAGAUACCCUGGUAGU